AUUGCCCACNGAAAGAUAUUUGUAUUUAUAAAAAUAUGUAUAUAUGCUAAAAUGAGUAUUGAAUUAUUUAUUAGUUUAUUUAAUAAAAUUAAACUUAACGAGUUAGUGUAAUAAAAAAAAUCUAUGAAAGGAACUCGGCAAAUAUUUGUUCUGCCUGUUUAUCAAAAACAUCGCUCGUUGCCAAUUUUAAAUAACGAGUCGAACCUGCCCAGUGAUUUUAUUUAACGGCCGCAGUACUCUGACUGUGCAAAGGUAGCAUAAUCAUUUGCCUUAUAAUUAAAGGCUAGUAUGAAUGGUUUGACAAGAAUGACGCUGUCUCUUUUAGAUUUUAUAGAAUUUGGUUUUUAGGUGAAGAAACCUAAAUAGGAUUAAAAGACAAGAAGACCCUAUCGAGCUUUAAAUAAUUUUUGUGUUAUGUUGGUAAAACUAGUUUCAUGAAAAAAUUUUGGUUGGGGCGACUAAGGAACACAAAAAGCUUCCUAUAAAGUGUAUUUACUUAUAAGUUUUGAUCCAAAAAAUUUGAUUAACAGAAUUAGUUACCGUAGGGAUAACAGCAUAAUCUUUUUUGAGAGUUCCUAUCGAAAAAAAGGUUUGUGACCUCGAUGUUGGACUAGGGUACCCAGAAAGGUGCAGAAGCCUUCAAUGGUUGGUCUGUUCGACCACUAAUACCCUACAUGAUCUGAGUUCAGACCGGCGUGAGCCAGGUCAGUUUCUAUCUUUAAUUAUUUUGACCUAA
Molecule: ribosomal RNA, 736 nt
Filed under: Laevicaspia caspia
Lineage: Eukaryota; Metazoa; Mollusca; Gastropoda; Littorinimorpha; Hydrobiidae
Description: partial large subunit ribosomal RNA
Rfam family: Bacterial large subunit ribosomal RNA
Source: RNAcentral